CCGUCAUCAGCCGCUUUCUAUGUACACUGGCCUAGAUCCUUUGCUCUUCUCCAGAUCGUCAGUGUUGCUAUGUGCUUCAUGCCAUUGCUUCCGAACCUCUGUUACCAGGAACCCUGUUACAUGCUACCUGUGCCUGCCUGCCUGACCUUCUGCCUGAUCCACAGACUGAUGAUUCUUUGCCUAACCCUUCUGAAUAAGUUUGCCUGUUCGGAUUGCCUUCCCGGUUUGAUCCUUACCGGCCUCGUGACUCUUGUUUUGACAUCAGAGCAGAGCAGAAAGUGGUCUGACCGUCUUGAUCAAUGCGUUGCUGGGUCACAGGCCAGCCUUCUCUGCCGCAGCAGCUCAUUUACUGUGCUGUUGGAAGCCAAGAGGUGGAAGACACGGAAACGGAUGACCAGGCAGUUGAAGGGUGAAGGUCAAUGUGCAUGUGUGAAGUCCAUGAGGAGAUGAUGGGUGACUGUGAGAUGAAAAGGAUGAGAGAGGAGGCAUACAGCUGAAGAGGGAGGAAAGACGGGACGCGGGGUGAGGGGUGUCAGCGGGUUAAAGGUUUAAG
Molecule: long non-coding RNA, 553 nt
Organism: Siniperca chuatsi (mandarin fish)
Lineage: Eukaryota; Metazoa; Chordata; Actinopteri; Centrarchiformes; Sinipercidae
Exons: 3
Source: RefSeq, a predicted model, not a curated record